Molecule: non-coding RNA, 69 nt
Filed under: unclassified sequences
Source: RNAcentral
GGCGGACAAGCUCCGCCGUCUUAAUGCAGCCGAAGACGGUCACAAGCCCGUAUAAAUGCAGAGUGAGAC